UGCUUCUACUGGAUGACUUGUUAGAGGCCCCCGUAGAGACCUCUAUGAAAAGAGGCAUGGUCUCUCAGGAAAGAGUCCCCAGUGGGAGACACAGGCUAGGCCCAACCCAAGGAAGGAACCCAAGUCUGUGGUAUUUCAGCGUGACCAAAAAAAAAAAACAUAUAUAUUGCUGGGGCUGCAGAGAAACUCUGAAGGCUAUACUCACUUACCCCUGGUCCACUGCUGGUCCCACUUCAAAAGCCCUCUAAAAGCUACAUCAGAGCCAUUGUGCUAUUCCUUGGUAGCAGCCUGGGCCGUUCCCCAAGCCUGGAAUGUAUUAAGUCUUUUAACAAGCGACUCCCACGCUACGUGAUGCUAAUUAGACCCUAUGCAGCGGGUGGUGCAAUGAUCUGCAGCCGUGACAGCGACAGAAUAGAGUUCAGCUGUGGAGCAAUUCUGCCACGAUAUCUGCCCCAUAGCCUGCCUCACAUCCCCUGCAUUCCUCUCCCUAGCAGAGAGCAAGUCUCUGAACAAGCUGUGUCCGCUUUCUCUUCCUGACUCUGUGUCUCUCAAUGUCUUCUU
Long non-coding RNA from Hyla sarda, 561 nucleotides. RefSeq lists it as uncharacterized. The record is from RefSeq and is a predicted model, not a curated record. NCBI's taxonomy places the organism in Eukaryota, Metazoa, Chordata, Amphibia, Anura, Hylidae. The transcript has 4 exons.